Molecule: ribosomal RNA, 234 nt
Filed under: uncultured bacterium
Lineage: Bacteria
Description: partial 16S ribosomal RNA
Rfam family: Bacterial small subunit ribosomal RNA
Source: RNAcentral
GCAAACCUCAGAAAGCCAAUCUCAGUUCGGAUUGUAGGCUGCAACUCGCCUACAUGAAGUUGGAAUCGCUAGUAAUCGCGAAUCAGAAUGCCGCGGUGAAUACGUUCCCGGGUCUUGUACACACCGCCCGUCACACCAUGGGAGUUGGAAAUGCCCGAAGUCAGUGACCCAACCGAAAGGAGGGAGCUGCCGAAGGCAGGUCCGGUAACUGGGGUGAAGUCGUAACAAGGUACC